ACGGAGCGACGCCGCGUGUGUGAUGAAGGCGGAAACGUUGUAAAGCACUUUUCCCUGGGGAAGAAUAAGGUGAGGAGGUAAUGCCUCAUCGAUUGACACAAACUAGGGAAAUAAGCCCCGGCUAAUUACGUGCCAGCAGCCGCGGUAACACGUAAAGGGGCGAGCGUUGUUCGGAAUUAUUGGGCGUAAAGGGCGUGUAGGCGGCCUGGUAAGUCUGGUUGUGAAAGACCGCAGCUUAACUGCGGGACCGCGCUGGAAACUAUUAGGCUAGAGUCUAAGAGGGGGAACUAGAAUUCCAGGUGUAGGGGUGAAAAUCUGUAGAUAUUCUGGAAGAAUACCGGACGCGAAAGCGAGUUCCCUGGCUAUAGAACUGACGCUGAGGCGCGAAAGCGUGGGGAGCGAACAGGAUUAGAUACCCUGGUAGUCCACGCCGUAAACGUUGUGCACUAGGUGUUGGCCUUGAGGGGUCAGUACCCGUAACAAACGCAAUAAGUGCACCGGCUGGGGAGUAUGCUCGCAAGGGUGAAACUCAAAGGAAUUGACCGGGGGCCCGCACAAGCGGUGGAGCAUGUGGUUUAAUUCGAUGAUACGCGA
Molecule: ribosomal RNA, 594 nt
Filed under: uncultured organism
Description: bacterial SSU rRNA
Rfam family: Bacterial small subunit ribosomal RNA
Source: RNAcentral